GAACGCUAGCUACAGGCUUAACACAUGCAAGUCGAGGGGCAGCAUGGUCUUAGCUUGCUAAGGCCGAUGGCGACCGGCGCACGGGUGAGUAACACGUAUCCAACCUGCCGUCUACUCUUGGACAGCCUUCUGAAAGGAAGAUUAAUACAAGAUGGCAUCAUGAGUCCGCAUGUUCACAUGAUUAAAGGUAUUCCGGUAGACGAUGGGGAUGCGUUCCAUUAGAUAGUAGGCGGGGUAACGGCCCACCUAGUCUUCGAUGGAUAGGGGUUCUGAGAGGAAGGUCCCCCACAUUGGAACUGAGACACGGUCCAAACUCCUACGGGAGGCAGCAGUGAGGAAUAUUGGUCAAUGGGCGAGAGCCUGAACCAGCCAAGUAGCGUGAAGGAUGACUGCCCUAUGGGUUGUAAACUUCUUUUAUAAAGGAAUAAAGUCGGGUAUGCAUACCCGUUUGCAUGUACUUUAUGAAUAAGGAUCGGCUAACUCCGUGCCAGCAGCCGCGGUAAUACGGAGGAUCCGAGCGUUAUCCGGAUUUAUUGGGUUUAAAGGGAGCGUAGAUGGAUGUUUAAGUCAGUUGUGAAAGUUUGCGGCUCAACCGUAAAAUUGCAGUUGAUACUGGAUAUCUUGAGUGCAGUUGAGGCAGGCGGAAUUCGUGGUGUAGCGGUGAAAUGCUUAGAUAUCACGAAGAACUCCGAUUGCGAAGGCAGCCUGCUAAGCUGCAACUGACAUUGAGGCUCGAAAGUGUGGGUAUCAAACAGGAUUAGAUACCCUGGUAGUCCACACGGUAAACGAUGAAUACUCGCUGUUUGCGAUAUACAGCAAGCGGCCAAGCGAAAGCGUUAAGUAUUCCACCUGGGGAGUACGCCGGCAACGGUGAAACUCAAAGGAAUUGACGGGGGCCCGCACAAGCGGAGGAACAUGUGGUUUAAUUCGAUGAUACGCGAGGAACCUUACCCGGGCUUAAAUUGCAGAUGAAUUACGGUGAAAGCCGUAAGCCGCAAGGCAUCUGUGAAGGUGCUGCAUGGUUGUCGUCAGCUCGUGCCGUGAGGUGUCGGCUUAAGUGCCAUAACGAGCGCAACCCUUGUUGUCAGUUACUAACAGGUCAUGCUGAGGACUCUGACAAGACUGCCAUCGUAAGAUGUGAGGAAGGUGGGGAUGACGUCAAAUCAGCACGGCCCUUACGUCCGGGGCUACACACGUGUUACAAUGGGGGGUACAGAGGGCCGCUACCACGCGAGUGGAUGCCAAUCCCCAAAACCUCUCUCAGUUCGGACUGGAGUCUGCAACCCGACUCCACGAAGCUGGAUUCGCUAGUAAUCGCGCAUCAGCCACGGCGCGGUGAAUACGUUCCCGGGCCUUGUACACACCGCCCGUCAAGCCAUGGGAGCCGGGGGUACCUGAAGUGCGUAACCGCGAGGAGCGCCCUAGGGUAAAACUGGUGACUGGGGC
Molecule: ribosomal RNA, 1446 nt
Filed under: uncultured organism
Description: SSU rRNA
Rfam family: Bacterial small subunit ribosomal RNA
Source: RNAcentral